Long non-coding RNA from Pezoporus flaviventris, 1928 nucleotides. RefSeq lists it as uncharacterized. The record is from RefSeq and is a predicted model, not a curated record. The transcript has 4 exons. Lineage: Eukaryota; Metazoa; Chordata; Aves; Psittaciformes; Psittacidae.
UACAAUGUUUUGUUUUCUCUCCUUAUUUCUAGUUGAACUCCAGAGGGAGAGGGAGCUCAAGCAUAUUUUUACUCACAGUACCUUUUCAGUUUCAAUGCAUAAAUGUGGUACCAUCUGUUAAGUCUAUCAGUGAUAAAGUGUGAUGCAUCUCAUAGUGUCCAGCUUUCUUUUCAUGGAGCAGACUACAUAAAUCUGCAUAGCAGCUCUUCUGGGAACACAAGAAAUUCAAAUGAAAAUGCUAAGUAUAAUUUAGCAUGUGUUUCUGCAUGAGUCAUAUUUUUUGUGAUUCAUUUGCAUGAUAAUAUGCUACUAGAAUGAGCAUUAUAUGAACCACAUAUACUCUUGGAAAAAACAUAAAACAUGUGUUCGCCACUUUAAAACAAAACUAGUCUUUUUUGCUAUUAAUUUCUUAGGUUUCUUUCUUCUGUAGUAAGUAUUUUUGCCAUGCCAGUUUUAGCUCCACUUUUUCUUUAUAAGCUUAGGACUUCGCUGCCAUACUUAGGUCAACAAAAUACCAGCCCAGCCUGGAGUAAAGAUGAGCUAAUGCUUGCAUCUGAGAAAUUUAAGAGCACAUCCCUUGUGGCACCUGACACACCUACAUGUUUAUCACAUUCAUUCAUAUUUCUUAAAGGUGCAAAAAAAUCAGCUAUAUGGCUGUGAACACAUAAAGCCAGAAGGCUAAAUUAUAUUUCUAAAUGACAGGAAAAAAGUGAACAUCACUUCCAACAGUACCUUAAAAUACCCUGUUUGUUGGUUUUGGGUUCUUUUCCUUCAAUUUUGAAGUAUCUUCAAUAAUCUAAUCUACCUCUUUUGUCACAGUAACUUUCCCUGUUCAUGUUGUCAAAUGUGUUGUCUGGAAGCAACAUCCCUGGUGUCUCUGUGGCUCUUCGGGACUUCUCUAGUCUAACGCGUAAUUGCUCUGCAGAGACAGAGCAAGAGCUAUUCUGAAAUAAAACCCAACACAAGAAAUACAAGAGCGGCAGCACUGUGCUGUGAGAAACUUGCAGGAGGGUGCAAGAAGAGGGCAAAUGUACCAGUGUACUUUGCAGGAGGUCCAAGGCUCAGGGACUUGUUGAGCAACAGCUAAAUAUAGCGGAUGCGGUCACCCAGAGUUGAAGAAAGCAAGAGUAUAUGCCAAGAAAAGAUGAACUGAAAAAUAAACACAAACCUUAUAUGCAGAAAAUACACAGUGUAUUUCUUCUGAACCAAACACAACAACCUUCUGCCAACUGAUGUGGCCCUUCCAGGAGCUGUAAGGAUGUGCUGUGCUUGUUAGAGGUGAUCUAAAUUCUGCCCUCAAGAGGAAAAAGCACCCACAAAAGAAACCUGUAUCAAUUAAAAGUACUGAAGCCUCUUCACAUAACUGUGUGGUCUUUUACUCUGGUUACCCACAUACAUCCUGUGAAAUCAAAACGAUUUUGAAUAGACCAAGUACAAUUGCGGUAACGAAAGAAAAGGAGAGAAGUGGAAAUAGCUGCUUGUAGCCACCAACCUCAACUGAACCACCUGUAAAAGAGGCUCUUUGGAUCAAUAUUGUCAUUCUAACCACCAGUUUGAAGGCACUGCUCAUGUAUUUAUUCUGUCCCUUCUUAAUCCCAGCCACCUACUCACUGUACCCAAGCUGCUGUCAUUGUCAUUUGCAGCAGAUGCAGCAGUCACAGACCUCACCCUGCUUGUGACCACAGCAGUACUGCUUCAGAGCCAGCACCUAGCAAACUGCAGUAAACUUGACAUUGAGGCUCUGGUCUGACAUAUUCAUGUUCUCCAUCCCCACUGUCCCUCUAGCUGUGCUCUGCUGUGCCAAAUCCUAGUUGGCUUAAGCUGGUUCUUUCUCAUUUAAGGCUUCAUUGGGUUUUUGAUUUGUGUCAGCUUCAGUUGAUCAGAACAAAACUAGAUACAUAGCACAUUAAUUGAGAAGCUAACAGAGG